This 99-nucleotide ribosomal RNA is filed under the name Bacteroidales bacterium. Lineage: Bacteria; Pseudomonadati; Bacteroidota; Bacteroidia; Bacteroidales. The record is from RNAcentral.
GCACCGGGGUCCACCUCUUCCCAUUCCGAACAGAGAAGUUAAGCCCGGUCGCGCCGAUGGUACUGCCUUCAAUGGUGGAAGAGUAGGUCGUUGCCUCAU